This 303-nucleotide ribosomal RNA is filed under the name uncultured bacterium. Its description in RNAcentral is "partial 16S ribosomal RNA". It matches the Rfam family "Bacterial small subunit ribosomal RNA", at positions 507 to 809 of the family's 1533-position model. The record is from RNAcentral.
AGCAGCAGCCGCGGUAACACGAGGGUCCCGAGCGUUGUCGGAAUCACUGGGCGUAAAGGGAGCGUAGGCGGCGUGGUAAGUCAGAUGUGAAAUCCCGGGGCUCAACCCCGGAACUGCAUCCGAUACUGCCAUGCUAGAGGAUUGGAGAGGUAGCUGGAAUUCUUGGUGUAGCAGUGAAAUGCGUGGAGAUCAAGAGGGACACUCGUGGCGAAAGCGAGCUACUGGACAAUAACUGACGCUGAGGCUCGAAGGCCAGGGUAGCGAAAGGGAUUAGAGACCCCAGUAGUCCCUGUCUCUUAUACA